Molecule: ribosomal RNA, 407 nt
Filed under: uncultured bacterium
Lineage: Bacteria
Description: bacterial SSU rRNA
Rfam family: Bacterial small subunit ribosomal RNA
Source: RNAcentral
CAGCAGCCGCGGUAAUUCGUAGGGUGCGAGCGUUAAUCGGAAUUACUGGGCGUAAAGCGUGCGCAGGCGGUUCGUUGUGUUUGUCGUGAAAGCCCCGGGCUCAACCUGGGAAUGGCGAUGAAAACUGGCGAGCUGGAGUGUGGCAGAGGGGGGUGGAAUUCCAGGUGUAGCAGUGAAAUGCGUAGAGAUCUGGAGGAACACCGAUGGCGAAGGCAGCCCCCUGGGCUGACACUGACGCUCAGGCACGAAAGCGUGGGGAGCAAACAGGAUUAGAUACCCUGGUAGUCCACGCCCUAAACGAUGGCAACUGGGUGUUGGGGGAGCGAUUCCUCAGUACCGUAGCUAACGCGUGAAGUUGCCCGCCUGGGGAGUACGGCCGCAAGGUUAAAACUCAAAGGAAUUGACGG